Molecule: ribosomal RNA, 443 nt
Filed under: uncultured bacterium
Lineage: Bacteria
Description: partial 16S ribosomal RNA
Rfam family: Bacterial small subunit ribosomal RNA
Source: RNAcentral
CCUACGGGAGGCAGCAGUGGGGAAUAUUGGGCAAUGGGCGCAAGCCUGACCCAGCAACGCCGCGUGAAGGAAGAAGGCUCUCGGGUUGUAAACUUCUUUUGUCAGGGACGAAGCAAGUGACGGUACCUGACGAAUAAGCAACGGCUAACUACGUGCCAGCAGCCGCGGUAAUACGUAGGUGGCAAGCGUUAUCCGGAUUUAUUGGGUGUAAAGGGCGUGUAGGCGGGAAUGCAAGUCAGAUAUGAAAACUAUGGUCUCAACCCAUAGCCUGCAUUUGAAACUGUAUUUCUUGAGUGCUGGAGAGGCAAUCGGAAUGCCGUGUGUAGCGGUGAAAUGCGUAGAUAUCCGGAGGAACACCAGUGGAGAAGGCGGAUUGCUGGACAGUAACUGACGCUGAGGCGCGAAAGCGUGGGGAGCAAACAGGAUUAGAUACCCUUGUAGUC